Long non-coding RNA from Zophobas morio, 501 nucleotides. RefSeq lists it as uncharacterized. The transcript has 3 exons. Lineage: Eukaryota; Metazoa; Arthropoda; Insecta; Coleoptera; Tenebrionidae. The record is from RefSeq and is a predicted model, not a curated record.
CAACCUUUAGAAAUAGUUGCAAUUCUUACAUUAAUACUCAUUGAUCUCAUCAAAACACGUAUAUUUUUAUUAUUUUAGUCAGAGUAAGGGCUGUAUCGUCGUUGAAUUUUGUUAAACCCAAAUUUGUAAAUAUAAUAUAGCUAUUUUUGUCUAGAUUUAUUUUUUAAGUGAGGUAAUAGAAGCUGCUACAAAUUCAUGACGGACACACCCUAGGUUGUGGAAAACUAUAGUUUUCCUGGGGGGCCUCCAUUUGAAACCGAGACUGUUUGCGGGAAAGCUCACUUACAAGCUAAGCGACGGUGCACUUACCAGUCGUUUAUGUCGUAAUGGACUUGAAGUUUGAAAUAUUCAGAAGGAAUUGGAGCUUAAGGAAGAAAGUUUUAGAUUGUCAAAGACCUUGAGGAUUGGUGUUUCUUACCUAUUCGAUAAAACUUUAAAAGUUAAAGUAUGUUAAAAAACAGUAUUUUAUAAUACUAUAUAGUAAAUAUUUUAUUUUUAUCA